This is an unclassified non-coding RNA of Callithrix jacchus (white-tufted-ear marmoset), 297 nucleotides long. It matches the Rfam family "Metazoan signal recognition particle RNA". From Rfam's summary of the family: The signal recognition particle (SRP) is a universally conserved ribonucleoprotein. It is involved in the co-translational targeting of proteins to membranes. The record is from Ensembl. NCBI's taxonomy places the organism in Eukaryota, Metazoa, Chordata, Mammalia, Primates, Cebidae.
GCUGGGCACAGUGGCACAUGCCUGUAGUCCCAGCUACUGGAAGGCUGAGGUGGGGAAUUGCUUGAGCUCAGGAGUUCUGGGCUGUAGUAUGCUAUGCCGAUCGGGUGUCCGCACUAAGUUUGGCAUCAAUAUGGUGACCUCCCGGGAGCAGGGGACCACCAGGUUGCCUAAGGAGGGUGAACUGGCCGAGAUUGGAAACAGCAGGUCAAAAAAACUCCGUGUUGAUCAGUAGUGGGAUUGUGCCUGUGAAUAGCCACUGUGCUCCAGCCUGGGCAACAGAGCAAGACCCUGUCUCUU